Toxorhynchites rutilus septentrionalis is the source of this 138-nucleotide small nuclear RNA. RefSeq annotates it as U4 spliceosomal RNA. The transcript has a single exon. Lineage: Eukaryota; Metazoa; Arthropoda; Insecta; Diptera; Culicidae. The record is from RefSeq and is a predicted model, not a curated record.
AGCUUUGCGCAGUGGCAAUAUCGUAACCAAUGAGGUACAUCUGAGGUGCGAUUAUUGCUAGAACAGAAUAAUAACGCAAACAGUUUCACAACUUCAAACAUUUCCCAAAAUUAGGCACAAGGAAACUUUCUUAUGAAA